This 478-nucleotide ribosomal RNA is filed under the name uncultured bacterium. RNAcentral's name for it is "partial 16S ribosomal RNA". It matches the Rfam family "Bacterial small subunit ribosomal RNA", at positions 28 to 523 of the family's 1533-position model. The record is from RNAcentral.
GACGAACGCUGGCGGCGUGCUUAACACAUGCAAGUCGAACGGUAAGGCCCUUCGGGGUACACGAGUGGCGAACGGGUGAGUAACACGUGGGUGAUCUGCCCUGCACUUCGGGAUAAGCCUGGGAAACUGGGUCUAAUACCGGAUAGGACUCCUGCCUGCAUGGGUGGGGGUGGAAAGCUUUUGUGGUGUGGGAUGGGCCCGCGGCCUAUCAGCUUGUUGGUGGGGUGAUGGCCUACCAAGGCGACGACGGGUAGCCGGCCUGAGAGGGUGACCGGCCACACUGGGACUGAGAUACGGCCCAGACUCCUACGGGAGGCAGCAGUGGGGAAUAUUGCACAAUGGGCGCAAGCCUGAUGCAGCGACGCCGCGUGAGGGAUGACGGCCUUCGGGUUGUAAACCUCUUUCAGCACCGACGAAGCGCAAGUGACGGUAGGUGCAGAAGAAGGACCGGCCAACUACGUGCCAGCCGCCGCAGUAA